GAAGUCGUAACAAGAGUUUCCGUAGGUGAACCUGCGGAAGAGAUCA
RNAcentral lists this ribosomal RNA (46 nucleotides) under Pseudo-nitzschia fraudulenta. Its description in RNAcentral is "partial 18S ribosomal RNA". The record is from RNAcentral. Lineage: Eukaryota; Bacillariophyta; Bacillariophyceae; Bacillariales; Bacillariaceae.